GCUCCAAUGGUGUAGUGGCUAUCACAACAGACUUCGACGUCUGUACGCUUGUCAUCUGUUGGUCCUGGGUUCAAAUCCCAGUUGGGGUU
Non-coding RNA from Dioszegia hungarica, 89 nucleotides. The record is from the annotation of a RefSeq genome assembly. NCBI's taxonomy places the organism in Eukaryota, Fungi, Basidiomycota, Tremellomycetes, Tremellales, Bulleribasidiaceae.